This 406-nucleotide ribosomal RNA is filed under the name uncultured bacterium. RNAcentral's name for it is "partial 16S ribosomal RNA". It matches the Rfam family "Bacterial small subunit ribosomal RNA", at positions 29 to 526 of the family's 1533-position model. The record is from RNAcentral.
AUUGAACGCUGGCGGCAGGCCUAACACAUGCAAGUCGAGCGAGUGGCGGACGGGUGAGUAAUGUAUGGGGAUCUGCCCGAUAGAGGGGGAUAACUACUGGAAACGGUGGCUAAUACCGCAUACUAUCGGAUGAACCCAGAUGGGAUUAGCUAGUGGGUGGGGUAACGGCUCACCUAGGCGACGAUCCCUAGCUGGUCUGAGAGGAUGAUAAGGCACACUGGAACGGAGAAACGGCCCAGACUCCUACGGGAGGGAGCAGUGGGGAAUAUUGAACAAUGGGCGCAAGACUGAUGCAGCCAUGCGGCGUGUAUGAAGAAGGCCUUAGGGUUGUAAAGUACUUUCAGCGGGGAGGCGUUACCCGCAGAAGAAGCACCGGCUAACGCCGUGCCAGCAGCCGCGGUAAUUC